GAGUGGGGUAAAUCAUCACGUCCAGAUGACUUGGAGGUGGAUGAAACAAAGAAGAUAUACUGCACUGUUCUUGUUUUUAGUGCUAGGAGCGUUACAGCAGUCCAUACAAUUAUCGGGAAAUUCGUGGAACGUCUUUUGAAGUGGCAAGGACGUUUCCCGCUUGCCGUAAUCACUCACGUGGAUGAUGCUACUCCAGAACAACUCGACAAUAUGCGCCUUGCGCUCAGGAUGGCUGGGAUAGUUGAUGUCUAUGAAGUCGCCAAUAUCACGAACGAGAAGAAGGAUUUGGAACCUGUGUACCAAGAGAAUCUCCUCAAACUGUUGCACAAAUGCGUCAAAGAUGGUGAUCGCAUAUUUGAGUUGCGCCAUGAGAUCGAAUUAGAAGAAGAGAAAAGAGUAACGAGGAAGAACAAGUUAGCCAAUUAGGCACAACUUCUAAACAAAAAUGUCACGUACGCCUACAACCGCAAAGGCUAAGAUAUAUUCACUGUGAUAACAACACAUAUUUGGCUUAAUAUUACUGAAUAUUGUAAGAUAUACUGUUGACUUUUUAAGUCUUUUAUUACAGCUUAAUACAUCUUAUAAUUAAGUCUUUUAUUACAGCUUAACAUAUCUUUAUUUCAGAAAUGUACAUUUCAUACCAAUACAUGUUUUAAUGAAAAGAUGAUUGGUAUUACAACAUCGGAAAAUCGCGUUAAAAGGAGUCAUACUGAAACUUUUCGUCUUACACUCAUCAGAGUAAAAUGCAAGAAUAAACAGAAAACAGAAAUCGAACAAUAUAAACGGAAACUAAAAGUUACAACGCGCAAAAUAUAACGAGCUCUUAUUUGCUGUCUUAGGUAACGGUAAAAUAUGCUUCUGGCCAGCCGGUAAUUACGGGAUAAUCGCUAAAAUAAUAAGAGCGUCCGAACAAAUUCUUUCUGUCUGCAUAGAAGAGG
Molecule: long non-coding RNA, 938 nt
Organism: Strongylocentrotus purpuratus (purple sea urchin)
Lineage: Eukaryota; Metazoa; Echinodermata; Echinoidea; Camarodonta; Strongylocentrotidae
Exons: 3
Source: RefSeq, a predicted model, not a curated record